GUGCUUCCUUCACAGCACAUAGACUAAAAUUGGAGCAAUACAGGGAAGGUUAGCAUGGCCCCUGCUCAAGAAUGAUAUAGAAAUUUGUGAAGUGUUCUAAAUAUUU
This 106-nucleotide small nuclear RNA is filed under the name Dasypus novemcinctus (nine-banded armadillo). Lineage: Eukaryota; Metazoa; Chordata; Mammalia; Cingulata; Dasypodidae. The record is from RNAcentral.